GAUGAACGCUGGCGGCGUGCCUAAUACAUGCAAGUCGAGCGAACAGACGAGGAGCUUGCUCCUCUGACGUUAGCGGCGGACGGGUGAGUAACACGUGGAUAACCUACCUAUAAGACUGGGAUAACUUCGGGAAACCGGAGCUAAUACCGUAUAAUAUAUUGAACCGCAUGGUUCAAUAGUGAAAGACGGUUUUGCUGUCACUUAUAGAUGGAUCCGCGCCGCAUUAGCUAGUUGGUAAGGUAACGGCUUACCAAGGCAACGAUGCGUAGCCGACCUGAGAGGGUGAUCGGCCACACUGGAACUGAGACACGGUCAAGACUCCUACGGGAGGCAGCAGUAGGGAAUCUUCCGCAAUGGGCGAGAGCAUGACGGAGCAACGCCGCGUGAGUGAUGAAGGUCUUCGGAUCGUAAAACUCUGUUAUUAGGGAAGAACAAAUGUGUAAGUAACUAUGCACGUCUUGACGGUACCUAAUCAGAAAGCCACGGCUAACUACGUG
RNAcentral lists this ribosomal RNA (497 nucleotides) under uncultured bacterium. Its description in RNAcentral is "partial 16S ribosomal RNA". It matches the Rfam family "Bacterial small subunit ribosomal RNA", at positions 28 to 507 of the family's 1533-position model. The record is from RNAcentral.